AGGUGCACCCCGCAUCUCGUCAACAGUCUGCAUGUGCCGUCUCCGUGCAUCUUUGAGAAGCUUUGCGCUGUGAGACUGACUGUGGGAGAUCUAACAUCAUCUCUGUAUUAUCAGGUACAUGUUGUAUAUUUUUAUAUUUGUAUUAAUGUUAGCUUGUGUGUAAAUAACUUGUGAACAGUCUGCAUGUGCCGUCUCCGUGCAUCUUUGAGAAGCUUUGUCGCUGUGAGACUGACUGUGGGAGAUCUAACAUCAUCUCUGUAUUAUCAGAAUAAAUGGCGAGUUGGAGCCAAAAGUGA
This is a long non-coding RNA of Sebastes umbrosus (honeycomb rockfish), 296 nucleotides long. RefSeq lists it as uncharacterized. The record is from RefSeq and is a predicted model, not a curated record. The transcript is spliced from 2 exons. Lineage: Eukaryota; Metazoa; Chordata; Actinopteri; Perciformes; Sebastidae.